GAUGAACGCUGGCGGCGUGCCUAAUACAUGCAAGUCGAGCGAACAGACGAGGAGCUUGCUCCUCUGACGUUAGCGGCGGACGGGUGAGUAACACGUGGAUAACCUACCUAUAAGACUGGGAUAACUUCGGGAAACCGGAGCUAAUACCGGAUAAUAUAUUGAACCGCAUGGUUCAAUAGUGAAAGACGGUUUUGCUGUCACUUAUAGAUGGAUCCGCGCCGCAUUAGCUAGUUGGUAAGGUAACGGCUUACCAAGGCAACGAUGCGUAGCCGACCUGAGAGGGUGAUCGGCCACACUGGAACUGAGACACGGUCCAGACUCCUACGGGAGGCAGCAGUAGGGAAUCUUCCGCAAUGGGCGAAAGCUUGACGGAGCAACGCCGCGUGAGUGAUGAAGGUCUUCGGAUCGUAAACCUCUGUUAUUAGGGAAGAACAAAUGUGCAAGUAACUAUGCACGUCUUGACGGUACCUAAUCAGAAAGCCACGGCUAACUACGUG
RNAcentral lists this ribosomal RNA (497 nucleotides) under uncultured bacterium. Its description in RNAcentral is "partial 16S ribosomal RNA". It matches the Rfam family "Bacterial small subunit ribosomal RNA", at positions 28 to 507 of the family's 1533-position model. The record is from RNAcentral.